Molecule: small RNA, 152 nt
Filed under: Dipodomys ordii (Ord's kangaroo rat)
Lineage: Eukaryota; Metazoa; Chordata; Mammalia; Rodentia; Heteromyidae
Description: TTC28 antisense RNA 1 conserved region 3 (ENSDORG00000029935.1)
Source: RNAcentral
AACAACAGCAAUUUUUUUUUAAGUGCAACACAGAUGCUGGGCUUAGAUGCCCGUGUCGUGGGUGGGAAUGACUGGCCCCGCUGACCCUCCAGCCAGAGGGCCUUGGAGACACUGCCCCCUGGGGUCAAGGAGCACCAGGGCUGGUUAGAGAA